UUGACUGGGGCGGUCUCCUCCUAAAGAGUAACGGAGGAGCACGAAGGUUAGCUAAUCCUGGUCGGACAUCAGGAGGUUAGUGCAAAGGCAUAAGCUAGCUUGACUGCGAGCGUGACGGCGCGAGCAGGUGCGAAAGCAGGUCUUAGUGAUCCGGUGGUUCUGAAUGGAAGGGCCAUCGCUCAACGGAUAAAAGGUACUCCGGGGAUAACAGGCUGAUACCGCCCAAGAGUUCAUAUCGACGGCGGUGUUUGGCACCUCGAUGUCGGCUCAUCACAUCCUGGGGCUGAAGUAGGUCCCAAGGGUAUGGCUGUUCGCCAUUUAAAGUGGUACGCGAGCUGGGUUUAGAACGUCGUGAGACAGUUCGGUCCCUAUCUGCCGUGGGCGCUGGAGAAUUGAGGGGGGCUGCUCCUAGUACGAGAGGACCGGAGUGGACGCAUCACUGGUGUUCGGGUUGUCAUGCCAAUGGCACUGCCCGGUAGCUAAAUGCGGAAGAGAUAAGUGCUGAAAGCAUCUAAGCACGAAACUUGCCCCGAGAUGAGUUCUCCCUGACCCUUUAAGGGUCCUGAAGGAACGUUGAAGACGACGACGUUGAUAGGCCGGGUGUGUAAGCGCAGCGAUGCGUUGAGCUAACCGGUACUAAUGAACCGUGAGG
Molecule: ribosomal RNA, 652 nt
Filed under: Citrobacter amalonaticus
Lineage: Bacteria; Pseudomonadati; Pseudomonadota; Gammaproteobacteria; Enterobacterales; Enterobacteriaceae
Description: partial 23S ribosomal RNA
Rfam family: Bacterial large subunit ribosomal RNA
Source: RNAcentral